This is an RNA transcript of Otolemur garnettii (small-eared galago), 362 nucleotides long. It is a transcript of the gene named prefoldin subunit 1 pseudogene, with no coding region annotated. The record is from RefSeq and is a predicted model, not a curated record. The transcript has a single exon. Lineage: Eukaryota; Metazoa; Chordata; Mammalia; Primates; Galagidae.
UCAAGAUGGCGGCCCCCGUGGAUUUGGAGUUGAAAAAGGCCUUCACAGAGCUUCAAGCUAAGGUUAUUGACACUCAACAGAAGGUGAAGCUUGCAGACAUACAGAUUGAACAGCUGAACAGAACAAAAAAGCAUGCACAUCUUACAGACACAGAGAUUUUGACUUUGGUAGAUGAAACUAACAUGUAUGAAGGUGCAGGAAGAAUGUUUAUUCUUCCAUCCAAGGAGGUAAUUCACAAUCAGCUGUUAGAGAAACAGAGAAUAGCAGAAGAAAAAAUUAAAGAACUAGAGCAGAAAAAAUCCUACCUGGAGCGAAGCGUUAAGGAGGCCGAGGACAACAUCUGGGAGAGGCUGAAGGCAUGA